Molecule: ribosomal RNA, 301 nt
Filed under: uncultured bacterium
Lineage: Bacteria
Description: partial 16S ribosomal RNA
Rfam family: Bacterial small subunit ribosomal RNA
Source: RNAcentral
CAGUCGCCGCGGUAAUACGUAGGGUGCAAGCGUUAAUCGGAAUUACUGGGCGUAAAGCGUGCGCAGGCGGUUAUAUAAGACAGAUGUGAAAUCCCCGGGCUCAACCUGGGAACUGCAUUUGUGACUGUAUAGCUAGAGUACGGCAGAGGGGGAUGGAAUUCCGCGUGUAGCAGUGAAAUGCGUAGAUAUGCGGAGGAACACCGAUGGCGAAGGCAAUCCCCUGGGCCUGUACUGACGCUCAUGCACGAAAGCGUGGGGAGCAAACAGGAUUAGAUACCCGCGUAGUCCCUGUCUCUUAUAU